UACGUAGGCAGCGAGCGUUGUUCGGAAUUACUGGGCGUAAAGAAUGUGUAGGCGGUGUUCCAAGUUCGGUGUGAAAUCUCCCGGCUUAACUGGGAGGGUGCGCCGAAAACUGGAAUGCUCGAGCGUGGGAGAGGAAAGCGGAAUCCUGGUGUAGCGGUGAAAUGCGUAGAUAUCAGGAGGAACACCAGCGGUGUAGACGGCUUUCUGGACCAUUGCUGACGCUGAGACACGAAAGCGUGGGUAGCAAACAGG
Molecule: ribosomal RNA, 252 nt
Filed under: uncultured bacterium
Lineage: Bacteria
Description: partial 16S ribosomal RNA
Rfam family: Bacterial small subunit ribosomal RNA
Source: RNAcentral